Molecule: non-coding RNA, 25 nt
Filed under: Rattus norvegicus (Norway rat)
Lineage: Eukaryota; Metazoa; Chordata; Mammalia; Rodentia; Muridae
Source: RNAcentral
UGUUUAAGUUGAUUCAACGGGGGCU